CGUAGGCGAGCGAGCGUUGUUCGGAGUUACUGGGCGUAAAGGGUGCGUAGGCGGCCUAUUAAGUUUGUCGUGAAAUCUCCCGGCUCAACUGGGAGGGUGCGGCGGAUACUGAUGGGCUUGGGAGUGCGGGAGAGGAGAGUGGAAUUCCUGGUGUAGCGGUGAAAUGCGUAGAUAUCAGGAGGAACACCGGCGGUGUAGACGGCUCUCUGGACCGUAACUGACGCUGAGGCACGAAAGCGUGGGUAGCAAACAGGAUUAGAUACCCUGGUAGUCCACGCCCUAAACGAUGCGCAUUUGGUGUGGGCAGUUCAUUCUGUCCGUGCCGGAGCUAACGCGUUAAAUGCGCCGCCUGGGGAGUACAGUCGCAAGGCUG
This 373-nucleotide ribosomal RNA is filed under the name uncultured organism. RNAcentral describes it as "bacterial SSU rRNA". It matches the Rfam family "Bacterial small subunit ribosomal RNA", at positions 526 to 896 of the family's 1533-position model. The record is from RNAcentral.